GAUGAACGCUAGCUACAGGCUUAACACAUGCAAGUCGAGGGGCAUCAGGAAGAAAGCUUGCUUUCUUUGCUGGCGACCGGCGCACGGGUGAGUAACACGUAUCCAACCUGCCCUUUACUCGGGGAUAGCCUUUCGAAAGAAAGAUUAAUACCCGAUGGGAUAAUUAUUCCGCAUGGUUUGAUUAUUAAAGGAUUCCGGUAAAGGAUGGGGAUGCGUUCCAUUAGGUUGUUGGUGAGGUAACGGCUCACCAAGCCUUCGAUGGAUAGGGGUUCUGAGAGGAAGGUCCCCCACAUUGGAACUGAGACACGGUCCAAACUCCUACGGGAGGCAGCAGUGAGGAAUAUUGGUCAAUGGGCGAAAGCCUGAACCAGCCAAGUAGCGUGAAGGAUGACUGCCCUAUGGGUUGUAAACUUCUUUUAUAGGGGAAUAAAAUGAGCCACGUGUGGCUUUUUGUAUGUACCCUAUGAAUAAGGAUCGGCUAACUCCGUGCCAGCAGCCGCGGUAAUACGGAGGAUCCGAGCGUUAUCCGGAUUUAUUGGGUUUAAAGGGAGCGUAGGUGGACAUGUAAGUCAGUUGUGAAAGUUUGCGGCUUAACCGUAAAAUUGCAGUUGAUACUGUGUGUCUUGAGUACAGUAGAGGUGGGCGGAAUUCGUGGUGUAGCGGUGAAAUGCUUAGAUAUCACGAAGAACUCCGAUUGCGAAGGCAGCUCACUGGACUGUUACUGACACUGAGGCUCGAAAGUGUGGGUAUCAAACAGG
RNAcentral lists this ribosomal RNA (758 nucleotides) under uncultured bacterium. RNAcentral describes it as "bacterial SSU rRNA". It matches the Rfam family "Bacterial small subunit ribosomal RNA", at positions 28 to 776 of the family's 1533-position model. The record is from RNAcentral.